This is a long non-coding RNA of Dermochelys coriacea (leatherback sea turtle), 708 nucleotides long. RefSeq lists it as uncharacterized. Lineage: Eukaryota; Metazoa; Chordata; Testudines; Dermochelyidae. The record is from RefSeq and is a predicted model, not a curated record. The transcript has 3 exons.
UGAACCUCUAAGAAACAAAGACAAAGGGCGGGGAGAAGGACUGAACCCAGGCUGAAAAGUGUCUGGCCUGUGAAAGGAAUACCUGGAGUUUUAAACUGUAAGCAAGAGCAGUUUGUCUUCAAGAAACUCUGUAAACUGCUUAAAACAACAUUUAAGGUGGGUGUAUCCCUACCUGUAUGUGGCUGGAGGAGUCUUGAGGGCCUGGCUCAGCAGGACUGGAUAAGGGAGCCCAGGCUGGUGGAACCCCAGUACAUCAGGUGGCAUCUCAGAGUGUAAUCUGUCACACUGGCUUCAUUGUGAUUCACCUUCCACGACAAGCUCUCCCCCAGACCAGCUCCGUGUGGAAGAGAAUAGGGCUAACAUGACACUUGUAGCUGCACAGAACUGAUAAUGAAGUUUACCCAUGAAGUUAUGACAUAUAUUCUAAAAGGAGAAAAAUGGUGUCAGCAUGCCCCCAUGUGGUUGUAGACUCCUAUACACAGUACCAGAGAGAGACUACUGUUUGCUCACUAUUCGGGAGAGAUUUAGAGGCAAAUCAAUCAAUUCAGCAUCAAAUCCAAAUAAAGUUCAUGGAGAUUUAGUGGUUUUUCUUUAAAUAAUUCUGCUGCCCUGUUUCACUGAAAAAUGAAAUGAAUAUAUGGAAGUGCUUUCCCCCAAAAUCUUACUAUCUCAAGUGUAUUGUGCAAAUGUUUAAUGGUCAUUUAUUUU